Molecule: ribosomal RNA, 497 nt
Filed under: uncultured bacterium
Lineage: Bacteria
Description: partial 16S ribosomal RNA
Rfam family: Bacterial small subunit ribosomal RNA
Source: RNAcentral
GACGAACGCUGGCGGCGUGCCUAAUACAUGCAAGUUGAGCGCUGAAGGUUGGUACUUGUACCGACUGGAUGAGCAGCGAACGGGUGAGUAACGCGUGGGGAAUCUGCCUUUGAGCGGGGGACAACAUUUGGAAACGAAUGCUAAUACCGCAUAAAAACUUUAAACACAAGUUUUAAGUUUGAAAGAUGCAAUUGCAUCACUCAAAGAUGAUCCCGCGUUGUAUUAGCUAGUUGGUGAGGUAAAGGCUCACCAAGGCGAUGAUACAUAGCCGGCCUGAGAGGGUGAUCGGCCAGAUUGGGACUGAGACACGGCCCAAAGGCCUACGGGAGGCAGCAGUAGGGAAUCUUCAGCAAUGGACGAAAGACUGAGCAAGCAACGCCGCGUGAGGGAAGAAGGUUUUCGGAUCGUAAAACUCUGUUGGUAGAGAAGAACGUUGGUGAGAGUGGAAAGCUCAUCAAGUGACGGUAACUACCCAGAAAGGGACGGCUAACUACGUG